AACCACCUGCUGCCUUGUGUCGCGUUGGAAGAAAACGCAUGGCCCGACGCCCGGAUCGGCAAGCAAGCAAAACACUUUCAUGUUCUCACGUGUAUCUAAGGCUUUUACCAUGUUUCACAAAAUUUUUGUGACACUAACUGUGCUCUUAGCAGCAAAAUGCGUGUUCGCUGUUUCCUCUGACCCUGAUCUUGAGAAGUUCCUCAUUACUGUUGCAAAACACGAUCGCGUGGUCGUAAUAUUCACGCAAGAAUGCUGCACCUGCACGGAUUGCGUCGAACUAGAACAGAUUUUGAAUGCAAAACAGCAGGAGCUAAGCGAAGACUAUGGAGUUGGUGUUGUGAAAGUGGUUAGCAAACCGCAGAUUGAAGAACGUUACGGCGUCACGUCUCGCCCGACGCUUCUCUUCUUUCGACAAUCGGUUCCUGCUCUUUUCGAAGGUCGCCACGACCCCGACAGCAUACUGGAAUGGAUCGGCCAGAGCUUGGAGCCUUCAGUAAAGGCCCUGGAUGACAAUUCCUUCGAGCAUCUUACACAGGCUGCGACAGGAGCCACUACGGGCAACUGGCUUGUGGUGUUCCACACAGACAAAUGCGUGAAAAAAGAUUCGGCAACUGGCGUGCUGGAGGGGCUAUCGUCGCAGGUUAAAGGUACCACAACUGUUGCCAAAGUCGACAUUGAUCGUUCUCCAGGCCUGGUGGAAAGGUUUUCAAUCAAGGAAUGCCCCACCAUCCUUUUCUUCCGGUUAGGUAAAAUGUACAAGUACAAUGUCAAGAAGCUGGAGAUCAAAUCAUUGAAGAAUUUUGUGGAUGGCUUGUACAAAAACAUGAAGGCCCAUCCAGUGCCAGUGCUUCAGACACCAUUCGACAAGUUAGUUGAAAAAAUUGCAGACUUCCUUAAGGUACUUUUAAUCGUCUGUGCCAACACAACGGUGUAGACCAUAUUAGUGUUGCUUUUCACGGGAGCUGGUGACAAGAAUGUGCUUUAACCACUGCCACAGUUCCACAUGCACCCGACUUUAUAUCUGGGGAACACAGAAGAACUGUGAUGCUGGGGUUUGUGGCAUUUUUCUCUGUCACAUACACCUUGUACAAGGCUCUUUCACUUCGAAACACACAGAAACAAGUAAAGAAGGAUUGAUCUUUGGACCUGCCUGUCUCUUACUGGCAGCUGUCAGAAUAAAAAACUUUCACAUUGUC
Molecule: RNA transcript, 1196 nt
Organism: Dermacentor andersoni
Lineage: Eukaryota; Metazoa; Arthropoda; Arachnida; Ixodida; Ixodidae
Gene name: thioredoxin domain-containing protein 5
Source: RefSeq, a predicted model, not a curated record